GUAGGGAAUAUUGGACAAUGGGGGGAACCCUGAUCCAGCCAUGCCGCGUGGAGGAAGACUGCCCUCUGGGUUGUAAACUCCUUUUAUAUGGGAAGAACCGUCCUCAUUAAUGAGUGACCUGACGGUACCAUAGGAAUAAGCACCGGCUAACUCCGUGCCAGCAGCCGCGGUAAUACGGAGGGUGCAAGCGUUAUCCGGAUUCACUGGGUUUAAAGGGUGCGUAGGCGGAUAAAUAAGUCAGUGGUUAAAUCAACGGGCUCAACCUGUUAACUGCCAUUGAUACUGUGUAUCUUGAAUAUGAGAGAGGUAGGCGGAAUGUUGCAUGUAGCGGUGAAAUGCUUAGAUAUGCUACGGAACACCGAUUGCGAAGGCAGCUUACUAUUUCGUAAUUGACGCUGAGGCACGAAAGCGUGGGUAGCGAACAGGAUUAGAUACCCUAGUAGUCC
This 446-nucleotide ribosomal RNA is filed under the name uncultured bacterium. RNAcentral's name for it is "partial 16S ribosomal RNA". It matches the Rfam family "Bacterial small subunit ribosomal RNA", at positions 354 to 796 of the family's 1533-position model. The record is from RNAcentral.